CAGACCAAUUCGGCAGCAGGGUGAUUAUUAAUGGAAAGACCUACUUUUUCGGUACCUACGUUAACACGGAUGCGGUUGCAGCGUUCAAUCAUUGCUGCGCCCUUGGAAUGAAACUCUUUGAACCAAUGACUCCGGCAGAUCUGCAAGUGGCCCUCAAUAUAUCGAAAAUUUCAGCUGAAAACAGCGUGCUUGUGGGCGAAACGGAAUCGAUCGACCAGACGCGCGAGGUUUGGUGUCGCAGCCGCAAGUUGUUGCCUGAGAAUCUCUACGGUUUCUCAAGUGGAGCAUACAGAUAUCCGUGCACCGAAUCCGUCGUCGCGGUCAAGAUAAGCGACGUCAAACUGGUCUUGAUCAGCCUGAUGAAAGGGAGCAUCCACGAUUUUUACCUCAAUUUUAAGAAUCCGCCAAGUGUUUUUGCAACAUCGUUUAUAUGCGAGCAACCGUAA
Long non-coding RNA from Cloeon dipterum, 446 nucleotides. RefSeq lists it as uncharacterized. The transcript is spliced from 3 exons. NCBI's taxonomy places the organism in Eukaryota, Metazoa, Arthropoda, Insecta, Ephemeroptera, Baetidae. The record is from RefSeq and is a predicted model, not a curated record.